This 367-nucleotide ribosomal RNA is filed under the name uncultured bacterium. Its description in RNAcentral is "bacterial SSU rRNA". It matches the Rfam family "Bacterial small subunit ribosomal RNA", at positions 527 to 896 of the family's 1533-position model. The record is from RNAcentral.
GUAGGGGGCAAGCGUUGUUCGGAAUCACUGGGCGUAAAGGGAGAGUAGGCGGGAAAAUAAGUUAGGAGUUUAAUGUCCGGGCUUAACCCGGAAUCUGCUUCUAAUACUGUUUUUCUUGAGUAUUGGAGAGGGAGAUGGAAUUCCAGGUGUAGCGGUGGAAUGCGUAGAUAUCUGGAAGAACACCAGCUGCGAAGGCGGUCUCCUGGCCAAAUACUGACGCUGAGGCUCGAAAGCUAGGGGAGCAAACAGGGUUAGAUAACCUGGUAGUCCAUGCCCUAAACGAUGAGGACUAGGUAUCGGCAAUUUAUUGUCGGUGCCGCAGCUAACGCAUUAAGUCCUCCACCUGGGGAAUACGAUCGCAAGAUUG